RNAcentral lists this ribosomal RNA (392 nucleotides) under uncultured bacterium. RNAcentral's name for it is "bacterial SSU rRNA". It matches the Rfam family "Bacterial small subunit ribosomal RNA", at positions 28 to 429 of the family's 1533-position model. The record is from RNAcentral.
GACGAACGCUGGCGGCGUGCUUAACACAUGCAAGUCGAGCGGUAAGGCCCUUUCGGGGGUACACGAGCGGCGAACGGGUGAGUAACACGUGGGUUAUCUGCCCCGAUGACCGGGACAACCCGAGGAAACUCGGGCUAAUACCGGAUGUGGUCUUCGGACGAAAGGAAGCUUCGGCCUCCGCAUCGGGAUGGGCCCGCGGCGCAUUAGCUUGUUGGUGGGGUAACGGCCUACCAAGGCUACGAUGCGUAGCUGGUCNGAGAGGACGAUCAGCCACACUGGGACUGAGACACGGCCCAGACUCCUACGGGAGGCAGCAGUGGGGAAUCUUGCGCAAUGGGCGAAAGCCUGACGCAGCGACGCCGCGUGGGGGAUGAAGGUCUUCGGAUUGUAAA